Molecule: ribosomal RNA, 1146 nt
Filed under: uncultured Cyanobacterium sp.
Lineage: Bacteria; Bacillati; Cyanobacteriota; Cyanophyceae; Chroococcales; Geminocystaceae
Description: bacterial SSU rRNA
Rfam family: Bacterial small subunit ribosomal RNA
Source: RNAcentral
ACCCCAAGGCGACGAUCAGUAGCUGGUCUGAGAGGAUGGACAGCCACAUUGGGACUGAGACACGGCCCAGACUCCUACGGGAGGCAGCAGUGGGGAAUUUUCCGCAAUGGACGAAAGUCUGACGGAGCGACGCUGCGUGAAGGAUGAAGGCCCGUGGGUUGUAAACUUCUUUUCUCGAAGAAGAAAAAAAUGACGGUAUUCGAGGAAUAAGCAUCGGCUAACUCUGUGCCAGCAGCCGCGGUAAGACAGAGGAUGCAAGUGUUAUUCGGAAGGAUUGGGCGUAAAGAGUCUGUAGGCGGUUUAGAAAGCCUUUUGUGAAAUACUUCAGCUCAACUGAGGCUCCGCAAAAGAAACUUCUAGACUUGAGGAAAGUAGAGGUACAGGGAAUUUCCGGUGGAGCGGUGAAAUGCGUAGAUAUCGGAAGGAACACCAAUAUGGCGAAGGCACUGUACUGGGCUUUUCCUGACGCUCAGAGACGAAAGCUGAAGGAGUGAUUAGGAUUAGAUACCCUAGUAAUUUCAGCCGUAAACGAUGAAAACUCACUGUCGAGCCAAUAUAUGGAGCGGUGGUCAAGCUAACGCGUGAAGUUUUCCGCCUGGGGAUUACGCUUGCAAAAGUGAAACUCAAAGGAAUUGACGGGGACCCGCACAAGCGGUGGAGUAUGUGGUUUAAUUCGAUGCAACGCGAAAAACCUUACCAGGGUUUGAAAUAAUUUCAAAACUUCUUGAAAGAGAAGCCUCCUUCGGGAUGGAAUUACAGGUGGUGCAUGGCUGUCGUCAGCUCGUGUUGUGAAAUGUCAAGUUAAGUCUUGUAACGAGCGCAACCCAUGUCUCUUGUUGCUGUUUACAGUGCUUAAGAGAAACUGCCGAUCAACAUCGGAGGAAGGUGUGGAUGAUGUCAAGUCAGCAUGCCCCUUACAUCCUGGGCUACACACGUACUACAAUGGUCGAGACAAAGGGUCGCUAACCUGCAAAGGCAUGCCAAUCUCAUAAACUCGAUCUCAGUUCGGAUUGUACUCUGCAACUCGAGUACAUGAAGGUGGAAUCGCUAGUAAUCGCUGGUCAGCAUACAGCGGUGAAUACGUUCCCGGGUCUUGUACACACUGCCCGUCACACCAUGGAAGUCGACCCUUCCCUAAGUCGUUAC